CGAGCGAGACCCACGCCAACAGUUGCCAGCUCGUCCUCCGGGGAUGGUGGGGACACUGUUGGGACCGCCUCUGCUAAAGAGGAGGAAGGAAUGGGGCAACGGUAGGUCAGCAUGCCCCGAAUUAUCUGGGCUACACGCGGGCUACAAUGGGUGGGACAAUGGGUAUCGACACCGAAAGGUGAAGGCAAUCUCCUAAACCCAUCCGUAGUUCGGAUUGUGGGCUGCAACUCGCCCACAUGAAGCUGGAAUCUGUAGUAAUCGUGUCUCAAAAUGGCACGGUGAAUAUGUCCCUGCUCCCUU
RNAcentral lists this ribosomal RNA (300 nucleotides) under uncultured Methanomicrobiales archaeon. RNAcentral's name for it is "bacterial SSU rRNA". It matches the Rfam family "Archaeal small subunit ribosomal RNA", at positions 1042 to 1338 of the family's 1478-position model. Lineage: Archaea; Methanobacteriati; Methanobacteriota; Methanomicrobia; Methanomicrobiales. The record is from RNAcentral.